Molecule: ribosomal RNA, 429 nt
Filed under: Chloroflexota bacterium
Lineage: Bacteria; Bacillati; Chloroflexota
Description: Chloroflexi bacterium partial 16S ribosomal RNA
Rfam family: Bacterial small subunit ribosomal RNA
Source: RNAcentral
UGGGGAAUAUUGCACAAUGGGCGCAAGCCUGAUGCAGCCAUGCCGCGUGUAUGAAGAAUGCCUUCGGGUUGUAAAGUACUUUCAGUCGGGAGGAAGGUGGUAAGGUUAAUAACCUUAUCAAUUGACGUUACCGACAGAAGAAGCACCGGCUAACUCCGUGCCAGCAGCCGCGGUAAUACGGAGGGUGCAAGCGUUAAUCGGAAUUACUGGGCGUAAAGCGCACGCAGGCGGUUGAUUGAGUCAGAUGUGAAAUCCCCGGGCUUAACCCGGGAAUUGCAUCUGAUACUGGUCAGCUAGAGUCUUGUAGAGGGGGGUAGAAUUCCAUGUGUAGCGGUGAAAUGCGUAGAGAUGUGGAGGAAUACCGGUGGCGAAGGCGGCCCCCUGGACAAAGACUGACGCUCAGGUGCGAAAGCGUGGGGAGCAAACAGG